AUUGGGUUUCAUUACUUGGCUCUGAUCAUUUGGUUUAGGGAAAGUAAGGCAAAUAACAAUUAAUUCUAAAACAUCCCCAACUAGACUAAAACAACGACAAAAGAAAAUAUAACUAGGACUAGAGAUGAUAAUAUUUCUAAAACGACUAUGUGGCUGAAAACAUCUAAAAUAUAAUAAUUAGGACCAAACAAAUUUUUUUUAAAUUAAAAAAAUUUAAUAUUAAAAAAAUUAAUUAGGUCAAAGUCUGCCCUGGUGGUCGAGACGGUGGUUGCUAAGGGUUGGCUCGUGGGACCGAGCUUGUUUUUGUCUGUACUGAGGAUACAGACCAGUGUGCAGAUCUGAGCGCAGUCCAAAGGGAGUGGACAAGAAAUAAAAGACGGCUUCUGUAAGACGGAGCGCGUUUGCAGGGGGAAGUGGUUUUGAGAUACGAGGGACCCGGGUCUUGGAGGGGCCUGACGGUGAGGGACCACUUCCGAGAACCCUGUCGCUGAUCUGAGCGGUUCCCUUUCUACGGAGACGUCCGUGGAAGAGAAAUUUCGAAAAAAGGUUCCGGCCGGAACACAUAAAAAUCUAAGGCAGGAAACCGCCGGGACUCUGAAAGAUGGGUUCGGGGCGAUCUAAGUCUCCACCACCAGACUGCAGCAUUACAAAAGUAAAAAACUGAGCGCGAUGAGGGUAAAUCCGGAUCUGGACUCCUUUCCCACCAUCAGCAGAAGAACCGAAGGAGAAGAAGCGCCGACCAACAACCAGAACAGGGUGGAAGCUCUGACACCACAGCAGCUGGAGGACACAGACCACAGCAUGGACGCCUCAGCGACUCACACAACGUCUGCAGCCAUCACGUUCUGGGCUCAUCAGAUGAACCAGCUACUACAAGCGUGUGUGUCUGACACAGACACCUGCUUAUGACAAUCAGCAAAGGAAAACAAGCACAGAGCAACAGCAGAGAAGACGUGCUCUGACACAGACACUGGUUGAAACAACAGGAGAGGCUUCAGACGUGAUCGGCCCAAAAGAGCUGCAUCUGAGGAUCCAGGAAAGGUCUGUCAUCGAGGAACAACUGUCCCAUUGAAAGGCUUCACCCGCUGGCGCUCACAUCAGACUGAUGGUUGGGGAAGGAGGAAGGUGACGGUUCCUUUUCACGUGACGUACAAGACGGUACCGCAAACAUACACACACACAUUCAUACACGCAAUGAAGAAACACGCUUACAGCUGAUACACGCUCAAAUUCAUGUUCAUGCUUAUCUGCUUGCAAUGAAGAAUCGCUUUUUGCUCAAAAAAUCAAACAGAGUGAUUUGAAAAUGAUGACAAACAGCUAAAUGACAACUGCUGCAUGACUUUACAGUCUGAUGGGUUCAAACUAUUUUAACUUGCAACAAAUUCAGUAAUAAAAUCCUUCAUGUUUCUAAAAAUACUUGUGCACAAUAUAGGUUUGUCUGGCCAGACUGUACAAAAACAAAACAGACUGUAGAAAAAACAAAACCAGACCAUAGGAAGACUGAGACUGACUGAAACAGACUAUUAAUGACUAUUAAAGGGAAGACGACUAUUAGAGAGAAGUAAUAAUAAUGACUGUACGUACCAGAUUAUUAAAGAAAAACUUAUUCUUUCACUGUCAUGUGCAACAUCUGACAGCAAGACACCUUAACAUUCAUUUUUGCUUUCAAACUUAUGCCCAGUUAAAUUUUUA
Betta splendens (Siamese fighting fish) is the source of this 1692-nucleotide long non-coding RNA. RefSeq lists it as uncharacterized. The record is from RefSeq and is a predicted model, not a curated record. Lineage: Eukaryota; Metazoa; Chordata; Actinopteri; Anabantiformes; Osphronemidae. The transcript is spliced from 2 exons.